Alosa alosa (allis shad) is the source of this 912-nucleotide RNA transcript. It is a transcript of the gene named C-C motif chemokine 4 homolog, with no coding region annotated. The transcript has 3 exons. NCBI's taxonomy places the organism in Eukaryota, Metazoa, Chordata, Actinopteri, Clupeiformes, Clupeidae. The record is from RefSeq and is a predicted model, not a curated record.
GGGACGUUUUUUCUCUGUGUCGUGGAGAGUGGGUUGUCCUAAGAUGUAAUAUAAGCACGACACGACAGCAAAGGCAAUCAGUCAAUGUGUGAAGCUCUGGACACCUGACACCUGAAGACAUCUGAAGAUGUGAAGAUGAAGAUGAAGCGGUCCUGUGUCACUGCUGCUGCUGUUGCUGUUCUGGUGCUGGUGCUCUGCUCCCAGGGACAAAGCAAGUCGGUCGAUACACCAGAUAAAUGCCGUUUUGAGUAUUACACCAAGCGGAUUCCACUCGAAGCCAUAAAAGGCUAUAAAGUGACCAGCCCCAUCUGCCCCGAUAAGGGAGUCCUUUAACUUUGUGACUGUGAAGGACAAAGAACUGUGCGCCAACCCAGAGGUCAAGGAAGUCCAGUACAUUAUGUACAGAGUGAAGAAGAGGCGUCCUCUGCCAAAUUCUAUUAUUAGUCCCCGCUCCAUCAUUCCAUAAUCAUUAUUUUAUGAUUAUUAUUUUGCCAGCAUUUGGUUGGGGCUUUCCAUCCCUGGUGUCUGAACAAGACACAGUUCAACAAUGACCACAGUGUGGACUGCUGUCAUAUAGAUAACAUAUAUAUUAUAUACAUCAAGGGCAUGGCCAUUGUUUAUGUCAUGUGUGUGAUUGCAUGUCACUACUUUUAGUGUUUUUUUAUGUUUUAUUCUUUUUAUGAAUGCUUAUUUAUUUAUUGCACUUCAUCUCUAUUUUGUUUGAAUUCAUAAUUUCUGCCUUGUUAUCUGAACUUAUAUUUUAUUUCUGUUAUUUUAAAUCCUUUUUAUCCUUUUAUAAUUCUGUGCUCCUUUUUACCUAUGUGUGUACAAUGAACUCUCUCUGCCUUACGUUGUCUCAACUCCUGUUGUUUUAAAUGUGCUACACAAAUAAAGCGACUUGACUUGACUAUA